RNAcentral lists this unclassified non-coding RNA (377 nucleotides) under uncultured Gammaproteobacteria bacterium. RNAcentral describes it as "contains 16S-23S intergenic spacer region". The record is from RNAcentral. Lineage: Bacteria; Pseudomonadati; Pseudomonadota; Gammaproteobacteria.
UCCGGUUUGUCACCGGCAGUCUCAUUAAAGUGCCCAACUGAAUGAUGGCAAUUAAUGACAAGGGUUGCGCUCGUUGCGGGACUUAACCCAACAUCUCACGACACGAGCUGACGACAGCCAUGCAGCACCUGUGUUACCGCUCCCUUUCGGGCACACCCACCUCUCAGCGGGCUUCGGUACAUGUCAAGGGUAGGUAAGGUUUUUCGCGUUGCAUCGAAUUAAUCCACAUAAUCCACCGCUUGUGCGGGUCCCCGUCAAUUCCUUUGAGUUUUAAUCUUGCGACCGUACUCCCCAGGCGGUCAACUUCACGCGUUAGCUGCGUUACCAAGCCCGUUAAGACCCGACAACUAGUUGACAUCGUUUAGGGCGUGGACUAC